Molecule: ribosomal RNA, 469 nt
Filed under: uncultured Streptococcus sp.
Lineage: Bacteria; Bacillati; Bacillota; Bacilli; Lactobacillales; Streptococcaceae
Description: bacterial SSU rRNA
Rfam family: Bacterial small subunit ribosomal RNA
Source: RNAcentral
UUCCUACGGGAGGCAGCAGUAGGGAAUCUUCGGCAAUGGGGGCAACCCUGACCGAGCAACGCCGCGUGAGUGAAGAAGGUUUUCGGAUCGUAAAGCUCUGUUGUAAGAGAAGAACGGGUAUGAGAGUGGAAAAUUCAUACUGUGACGGUAUCUUACCAGAAAGGGACGGCUAACUACGUGCCAGCAGCCGCGGUAAUACGUAGGUCCCGAGCGUUGUCCGGAUUUAUUGGGCGUAAAGCGAGCGCAGGUGGUUACAUAAGUCUGAAGUAAAAGGCAGUGGCUCAACCAUUGUAUGCUUUGGAAACUGUGUAACUUGAGUGCAGAAGGGGAGAGUGGAAUUCCAUGUGUAGCGGUGAAAUGCGUAGAUAUAUGGAGGAACACCGGUGGCGAAAGCGGCUCUCUGGUCUGUAACUGACACUGAGGCUCGAAAGCGUGGGGAGCAAACAGGAUUAGAUACCCUGGUAGUCCA